GCAGAGCUUGGGUAAGGAGUGUCUUCAGGAAUCUGCCUGCUGCUGCAAGAGCAGCACUUCCCCAUCACUGCUGUGUUGGUCUGAGAGUCACAUCUCUGUCCUGCCCACAUGUCCCUACAGUGGCACUGCCUGCAUAUCCCUGAGAAACAAAACAACCCAAGUCACACAGGGUUGCCCUCUCCUACCUCAAGAGUUGCUGCUUUUUCUCCAUAUCCAGGUCGGCUGAGAGGCACUGAGUCAGCAGCACGAUGUGGAGAUGAAACAUACCUGCAGAAGGGCGUUUUGGAAAGUCCUGCAAUUCUGCCAGAACUGCGCGUGAUGGAGGAUAAUGAGUCCUUCUAAAAAUAGCAGCAGCACCUCCUCAGAGGGUUACUGGGGCAGCUGCUGGAGCUCAGAAGAGGCUGUAAUUCAUAUGCUGAAGCCACACAGGGACGUUUGGGCUUUGUAAUUCCUGUGCCAUAAAGCAAAAGAAGCAAAAGUUGUAUCUGAAGAGCCCACAGAAAUUCAGAGGAUGAGGACAUUCCACUCCUGCUGUGCUCGUCAUGGAAGGAAGCACCACUGUAACCCAGGGGAUGGCACUGAGGAUUCUGUUGGCGCACACAGCACACCUUGCAGAAUAAAACCCAGAAUGGCAGCAGAGCAGCUGAUGGCCGUGGGAGCGGCUCAGCCUCACCGAGGGGUUCUGUUUCCUGGGACAAGAACGGGUGCAGCCUCCAGAGCUCCACUGCGAUAAUGCAAGCCAUGGGCACGGGCUGGGAGUGCAGCGUGACCCCGUGGGAACUUCCUGAGGGAAAGCAAGUUUGAGGGAGGGGCAAAGCGCAGGUUCAGCCCCUCUCUGCACUCACAGUGCUCCUCACAGCAGCAUCUAUACAGAAGCACUCCGCAUUUCCCAGGGAGAGGCCCUUACCGCAGCACCCCGUGCUUAGCCCACGACGCUGGCAGCUGUCCCCCCAUGUGUGAGCUCCUCCCCACCGGCCCCAUCCCAGCACCCCCAUCUGUUGGGCCCCAGCCUUCCCCUGGUCUCCUCUUACUCUGAAUUGCAGCUCUGAUUGCACAGCUUUAUGCUCUUGCAGCGCUUUGCUGUUGGAACAAUUUCUUGCCAAAAGCACAGCACGGUGCUGUGCCUUCCUGCUCCCCCCGGCUGCCAUCUGCCACCCAGCAUAAAGCAAACGUGGGGCUGCUGCUGCCCAUCUGCUCACCAUAGAGUCAACCGAGCAGCCUUCCUCCCGCCUGCAGCAGCCACUGCACCGGAGGCUGCAAUUGCUGGAAGUGCCAAGGAGACAGAGGGAGACACACAAUACCUUUCAUUGUGCUUCAUCUGUGUACUGCAGCACUGAGUCCAAGUGGGUCCUACUGCUUCCAUCCAUCCUGGUAAGAGCAAGCACAGGGGGUCGAGCUGGGGCUGGGGAACAGGGCAACCACAGCUGAGCUGGGAGAGCCAUCUUGCUUCUGUUUACACGUGGGGUUCCAGUUAGAAACACUCUUGCAGUGGAGUAUCACAGAAUAU
This 1507-nucleotide long non-coding RNA is filed under the name Gallus gallus (chicken). RNAcentral describes it as "long non-coding RNA NONGGAT009434". The record is from RNAcentral. Lineage: Eukaryota; Metazoa; Chordata; Aves; Galliformes; Phasianidae.